RNAcentral lists this ribosomal RNA (89 nucleotides) under uncultured bacterium. Its description in RNAcentral is "partial 16S ribosomal RNA". The record is from RNAcentral.
UCUUGUACUCACCGCCCGUCAACUCAAGGGAGAUGGGAGUACCCGAAGGGUCGCAUUGCGGCACCACGGUAAGCUCAUCGACAGGGAGU